This 465-nucleotide ribosomal RNA is filed under the name uncultured bacterium. RNAcentral's name for it is "partial 16S ribosomal RNA". It matches the Rfam family "Bacterial small subunit ribosomal RNA", at positions 338 to 795 of the family's 1533-position model. The record is from RNAcentral.
CCUACGGGAGGCAGCAGUAGGGAAUCUUCCACAAUGGGCGAAAGCCUGAUGGAGCAACGCCGCGUGGGUGAAGAAGGUCUUCGGAUCGUAAAACCCUGUUGUUAGAGACGAAAGUGCGUGCGAGUAACUGUUCACGUUUCGACGGCAUCUAACCAGAAAGCCACGGCUAACUACGUGCCAGCCGCCGCGGUAAUACGUAGGUGGCAAGCGUUAUCCGGAUUUAUUGGGCGUAAAGGGAACGCAGGCGGUCUUUUAAGUCUGAUGUGAAAGCCUUCGGCUUAACCGGAGUAGUGCAUUGGAAACUGGGAGACUUGAGUGCAGAAGAGGAGAGUGGAACUCCAUGUGUAGCGGUGAAAUGCGUAGAUAUAUGGAAGAACACCAGUGGCGAAAGCGGCUCUCGGGUCUGUAACUGACGCUGAGGUUCGAAAGCGUGGGUAGCAAACAGGAUUAGAUACCCUAGUAGUC